GGGUGAGUAACACGUAUCCAACCUGCCGUCUACUCUUGGACAGCCUUCUGAAAGGAAGAUUAAUACAAGAUGGCAUCAUGAGUCCGCAUGUUCACAUGAUUAAAGGUAUUCCGGUAGACGAUGGGGGUGCGUUCCAUUAGAUAGUAGGCGGGGUAACGGCCCACCUAGUCUUCGAUGGAUAGGGGUUCUGAGAGGAAGGUCCCCCACAUUGGAACUGAGACACGGUCCAAACUCCUACGGGAGGCAGCAGUGAGGAAUAUUGGUCAAUGGGCGAGAGCCUGAACCAGCCAAGUAGCGUGCAGGAAGACGGCCCUAUGGGUUGUAAACUGCUUUUGUGCGGGAAUAAAGCGGGUCACGUGUGGCCCUUUGCAUGUACCGUACGAAUAAGGACCGGCUAAUUCCGUGCCAGCAGCCGCGGUAAUACGGAAGGUCCGG
RNAcentral lists this ribosomal RNA (435 nucleotides) under uncultured bacterium. Its description in RNAcentral is "bacterial SSU rRNA". It matches the Rfam family "Bacterial small subunit ribosomal RNA", at positions 104 to 537 of the family's 1533-position model. The record is from RNAcentral.